Molecule: ribosomal RNA, 460 nt
Filed under: uncultured bacterium
Lineage: Bacteria
Description: partial 16S ribosomal RNA
Rfam family: Bacterial small subunit ribosomal RNA
Source: RNAcentral
CCUACGGGGGACAGCAGUGAGGAAUAUUGGUCAAUGGACGAGAGUCUGAACCAGCCAAGUAGCGUGAAGGAUGACUGCCCUAUGGGUUGUAAACUUCUUUUAUAUGGGAAUAAACUGUUCCACGUGUGGGAUUUUGUAUGUACCAUAUGAAUAAGGAUCGGCUAACUCCGUGCCAGCAGCCGCGGUAAUACGGAGGAUCCGAGCGUUAUCCGGAUUUAUUGGGUUUAAAGGGAGCGUAGGUGGAUUGUUAAGUCAGUUGUGAAAGUUUGCGGCUCAACCGUAAAAUUGCAGUUGAAACUGGCAGUCUUGAGUACAGUAGAGGUGGGCGGAAUUCGUGGUGUAGCGGUGAAAUGCUUAGAUAUCACGAAGAACUCCGAUUGCGAAGGCAGUUCACUGGACUGCAACUGACACUGAGGCUCGAAAGUGUGGGUAUCAAACAGGAUUAGAUACCCCGGUAGUC